AAGCCAACAAUUAAAACUAAAACACGUUUUCUAAAAUAAAACACAAUAUUUAAAAACAAAAAUUAAUUUUUAAAAUUACAAUAAUUAUCUGAAUCUUCAUUCUUGUCGGUCCUCUCUCGCUCUCCUAGGGUUCUCUCGCAAUCUUCGUCUUCAUCAUUCUAUCGGGAUCUUGGUUCCACCGUCGCCAUCGACCACCCGUGCAAAAUCGCCCAAAUCGCGAUCGAUCGGAGGAUUUAUCAAUGGAUCCUCAUCCGGCUUCACCCGUCGACCUUGUUCGGCAGUCGCCUGAGAAGCCAUAUUCCGAUCUUUCACUCUUUGACUCUGAUCUUUACAGAUCCAUGGUGCUGGAGACGUACGGGAUCUUCGACAGUGGGCUUGAGACCUUCGAGACGGGGGGCCGUCGGCUGUCUGUUGAAAUGCCUUACUCUUGUAUAGGCUCGGAAUAUUUGGCCUCCGAGGUGCCAGAAUCGCCCCACCUAUACUCCGGCUGGGUUGUGCCAGACUCCAAGGAUGCCAUUGUGUGUCCGUCGCCUGUUGUCGUUCAAAACGACAUGGCCAAAAAAAACCCUUAGCUGGAAUCGAUGCUCGUAGCCGCAGUGAAGUGUUCCUUCAGUUCCUGAGGAUUUACUAUCCUUUUGCGACCACCUUGCAUGAGUUCUCUGAGGUGUACGUUGGAGGAGAUUUGGGUGAAGUUAUAAAAAUCCAGAAAGUAUCGGUAGGAGGUACGCAUGGCACCUCCGGGACAGGGGACGUCUCGGGAGAUAGAAAGACGGGCUGAAUGAGUGAACUGCAUCUGAUGUAUUAUAUGUAAAUUCUAACUAGAAAAACCUCCCGUUUUGGGAGUAUGUUUUUGUAAAUAUUUAUAAACUAUUUUUUUGGGAAUAAUAAAAUGCUUAUAUAAUUAAUUUUAGCCUUAACACUGUGUUGUGGGGCCCGAAGUAGAAGGUGACGACCUCAUGAUGCAGUGUGGCGGUAGCAUUUCCAGUAUGAGCCAACUGGGGGUGUUACAAUAUAUGUGCAAGACUUUUUGCAUAACUAGCUUCCACUCGAUGACGAUUUUCUUCCGAGAGUGUCUCAAUCGUGCAUAGUUGUAUCGGAUGCUUACUUUAUAAGUAAUGCAACCACUGUGCAUUUGAAUUCAUAGUCACUGCCCCCCUCGAUGAAGGCUAACGUCUGAGAGUAUAUUGAAUAUGUUCUUUGAUAGUCCUAUAUUGUAUUUGGAGGCUUACUUUUAAAGUAAUGCAACCACUGUGCAUUUGAAUUCGUAGGCAUUCCGCCCCACUUGAUGAAAAUUAUCUUAUGAGUUACUGAUUGUGCUCUUUGAUGACCAUAUGAUGCAUUUUGUAUUUGGAGACUUACUUUUAAAGUAAUGCAGCCACAUAUGCAUUGAAAUUUGUACACCUCAACCCUUACUUGAUGAUGAUUAGUAUCUAAUAGCACCCAAUAAAUGUCAAUUAAUUUGAGAGUGAGUUGAUGACACUGUAUGAUGAUAAAUUAUGAAAAGAGACAUACAAAAUGUUCCGCAUAUGCAUAUUAUCCCAUCCAAAGAUUUGUUGAGCGUACAAAUCGAUUUAAUUAUCCUACAAAAGAGAUUAUUAGUUAUUGUUUAAACAACCUCUCUAAAUAGAGAUGUUUUAUAGCAAUAAUCAUAACUUAUCCCAUCAUUAAAAGCAUGUUUUACUACACAUACGCAUUUAUAUAUUGCUAAAACUCCUCUAUAUAAGUUAUAAAGUCCUCCGGACCUUCCACUUCAUUUAAGUCCAUCAAAUGAUCAAUACAUGCUUUGAUCAUCUCAUGGUCAACUUGAAUGUCUUCCGGGAGAUUCCAUGACCUUCUCGAAAACUCUUUUUCUAGGUGAAGGAUCUUAUAAUUGUUUAUCCAAAAUUAGCCAUUAUCUUGCCAAGACAUGCUUGCAAAUUUAGAAAUACUGAGUUUAGAGCUGUAUGUGAGAGCUGCUCAAAUGAUUUGUGAACUGCAUUUGGUAACGGUGGGACUAAUGGUGGGAAUUUUUUUCCUUGAUGAGAAGGGUUAACAUGAUGUGAGUAUGAUAUGAUUAUCCCUCUUUGGGAGAGAAAUGAAUUUGUUUUGGAGGCUAUUUUGUGCACUAGUUUUUAUCUAUAUUCACUGUGAUUUUUAUUGUGUGAUGCCAUGAUGUUUUAUUGCCAUUUCUACUGAUAUAUUGCAUUGUCUACUG
This is a long non-coding RNA of Andrographis paniculata, 2194 nucleotides long. RefSeq lists it as uncharacterized. The transcript is spliced from 3 exons. The record is from RefSeq and is a predicted model, not a curated record. NCBI's taxonomy places the organism in Eukaryota, Viridiplantae, Streptophyta, Magnoliopsida, Lamiales, Acanthaceae.